Molecule: long non-coding RNA, 214 nt
Organism: Etheostoma spectabile (orangethroat darter)
Lineage: Eukaryota; Metazoa; Chordata; Actinopteri; Perciformes; Percidae
Exons: 3
Source: RefSeq, a predicted model, not a curated record
CUUGCAGAGAUGUGAGGGCCAGUUAACCAUAGUUCAAUGACGCGUUAUUAUGGAUCCCACGCAACUUCUAGGCAAGUCCCACCCUGAGAAGCAGCCUGAUUGGUUGGUGUUAUGCAUCGACCUUGAGUAGUUAAGGUUAGGAUAGGCGAAUGGUCAGGGGAUAGGACCUGAACAAAUUGGGUUUCGUGACUUCACGCAAGCAUGGACGCCCAGU